UAAGAUUUACAUCUUCAAGUUUCCCUGUUUGUUAUCUAUAGGCUACCGUUAGUGAUGAAUCGUAUUACAAUAGUAAUGGUGAUGAUUAACAGCUUUGAAUAUAGUUGUGAAUGCAUGUAGUUUACUCCUGUUUUAGAACUGUUUUAUAGGUAGUUUGGUGUCAUUUUAUGCCAUUUGAUAGAACUGCUUUGUCUUCAAUCAGCUUCCAAGCAUUGAUAAAACCUAAGUAGAACAUUUAAAAAUGUUUUGCACUCUGGUACCCCCCGCUCUCAAUUAUACACAAAAAUAUCUAAUUUCACAUUAGAGAAAUGAUAUUUGAAACAACCAUUUUUAAACAACUUUUGUGACAACUCUCUCUCAUACUCUCAUUGUACUUUUAUUCUCUCUCUUCAUUUCUCUCUCUCUCUCUAAUGUUAUAUAAGGGAGGAAAAAGGUUGUCACUAAAAGUUGUUUAAAAUUGGUUGUCAAAAUAUCAUUCCUCUUCACAUUAUCGAGAAUUUUAUUUAAUCGUAAUACAUUUUUAAUGUAAUAAAUAAACAGACAAAGUAAUGUUAUUCUUCAAGCAACCCUUCAUUUGAUUGAACUUGUUCCAUAGGAAUAAAAGGGAUAUUCAGAAAGAAAAUCUAUAUUAAACGAAGAGUGUUUUAGAAGUAACAUGAUUAGAUAAUGCAAAAUUACUUGAGAUUUGCUUGCAUUUGAAACUACCAAAUAUGAGUUCUUUUUCAUUUAUAAUUGUAACUGAAAAGAGUACAAAGAUUGGAAUGAAUGGGUACGUUGAUGAUUUCCAUCUCCGUUUAUAAAUUUAUUUCUAUGCGAUGUUUAUUUGGUAUAGAUCUUUAUGUUCUGAAAUUUGUUUUCUCAUGGCUUUAUGCAGAGCAAGGGAAGGAUUUGGAUGAAUUUUUCUGUUCAACUGCUGGUAUGAUUUUCCGCACCAUUUUUAUUCCUGUGAUAACUUACACAUGUUUAAUGAUCUGAUUACUUCAAAAGAUAAAGUGUGGACUUAAUAAUCAUUGAUCAGAAAACCAAUGGUUGAGAUUUCAACAACUUUUUAGUUUAUCAUACACAUGUUCUUGUAUAUUAGCUUAUCAACUGAUAUUUUUUUAAUCAAUGGUUAUUGCUGCACUUUAUCCUCUAAAGUGUAUCAAUCCUUUGUUUAUAACACUACUGAAGCAUAAUUAACCAUCACAUAAUAGGAGCUCGGUAAAACCGAGUUAUAGUUGAUAAUGCAAGUUUGCACUUGAAAAUAUGAUUAAUUUGUUUAUAAUCUGAAGCUGAGAAGUGGAUCCUAGGCUAUAUCUGACGGUGUUUGUUAGCAAAAAGUCUAUUCCAUCUUAAUGAGUUUUUUUAUUCGUCUGGAAUCUUUUUGUGGGAGAUUACUGGUUAAUUAUGUAGUAGGAUCUGGUUCCUGCUAUGAGAUGGAAUGUCAUUUGGAAUCGCUUGAUUUGGAGAUUGGUCCUGUGGUUUUAUCUUCCACAUAUUUUGUUCAGCUGUUUAAUAGCUGAGCACUGAAGACAAUAUGAGGGUGGUAGAAAUGAGUAGGAGUGUGGGACAUUAGAAGAUGAACAGUCAUUUGUUGCCAGGGUAAAAGAAAUAAAUAAGUACACCCAUUCUAGAAAUGGGUGAUCUCCAUUUCCUCUAUCACCAUAAUUUUAGGAGUAUAAACAUGAUAAUGUGGUAUUUGUUUGCCGUUUUUAUACCCUCAAACUUUAGUAAUGGAGAUGGUCCAUUCUCCUAUUGGCACUCACUCAUGAAACACGAGGGAAGGUGGGGUGGGGUGGGGUGUGGGAUUAGAAAUAUGACAGGGCAGGUGCAGAGCACUUGCACAUAAAAGCAGAUAAAAAAAAAUCAUAAACCUGAAUAUGAUUGAUCAUAGAGAACUGACCAGAUGAUUGGCAUCCGUUGAUAAAAGAGUUAUGGAAGUAAUAUUAAAACUUAACAAUUAAAAUAGUUGUAAAAUUUGAUUAAUGGAAGUACUUAAUGGAGGAAAACUUGACAUUUUGCAGGGAAGUUCCAGACUGAAGUUGGCAAAGCUUGGGCAUCAGAGAUUGUAUCGAGAAGGAGUAAUACCUAAAUCCCCUUGUCAUUCCGAUUCAACUCUGGAGUUUAUGGAUUUCCCUCUCAAGAUGGAAGUGGAAAGGGCGAGAGGGCCCUUUUAAAACUUUGUCUCUCAAUUGGUUAAUGUAGCAUAUGGAGUGUAAAUUGGGAAUCCGUGGUGACGGAGAUCUCUUAACACUGCAAGCUGUACAGAUCACCAAAAUAGUAGGUGUGCAUGAAGCAACAUUGAGUAGAUGAUUUAGUUGUAUCGUUGUCUCAUAUUCAUGAGUCCUCAUUGACAUGAAGAAGACUGAAAAUAUUGAACCUUAAAAGUACAACUUUCACGAGUUCCAUGUGGGUUGGUUUUACUUACAUGGAAGUAGGUUGGGUUCCAAUAACCAUUGUUUUUGUUGUGCCUUUAGAUGUUUUUGGUCGUUAUUUUGACUUUGAAUGUUCAACCAUCUGCUAGUUAUGCAAUUCCAGUAAAAGUUCCCCUUUGGUGGUGCCAUGUUCAACCACGAGAACCUUUGGUGGCCCCACUUAACUAUAUAUAUAUUUUUGUUUUUUUAUUGUUUUUUAGAGUUAAUAGGUCUUUACCCCUGUAAUAUAGAUCAUUUCUGGUUUUUCCCCUGUAAAUUUUUAUCUUGAAUUACCCCCUAAUAGGCCAAACAAAAACCAAAUUUUUUUUUUUCAAGAAAUUUUCGUUUUUGUUAAACAAUUUUUUUUUACAAAGGGUAAAUAAAAAUAAAAUUACAUGGGGAAAAUCGGAAAUGACCUAUAUUAGAGGGGAUAAAGACCUAUUAACCCUUGUUUUUAUAAACAAAUUACACCCUCUUGUGCAAAAAAUCACUAUGUUUAUUACAUAGUUAAUGUAUCUUGUCGAUAUUAUGGAUUAGAUAUAUCAAAUUAUUUAGAAUCUAAAAAGUUUUCUUUUGUUUUUAACAAACCUGAUGUGUAUAUUAUAGUUAUUAGUCAUUACAUAAUUUUACUUCCACAAUAAAAACUAAGCGUUUUUUACACUAAAAAUUAUUCAAUAUAUUUUGUGAAGAAGCAAAAUGUUCGAUCACAUACAUAAAGAAAAAUAUAGUUUUUUUUUUUUUGAAAAUAAAGAAAAAUAUAGUUGAUUAUGUGUUUAUAGUAUAUUUAUAUUGUUGAAAAUAAUGACACUAUAAUAAUAACAACAAUGUACAAAUGAACAUAGAUGUUGAUAUGGUUUCAAUCUUGAGGAUAUAUUAUAAUCUAUUUUUGCAAUUCUUUUUUUGCUUUAUUGAAAAUUUUGUCACAUUUAAGACUUCAAGGAUGAGCAUAUUCUCAGAACUCAAGAUCUCAAGCCAACACCACUAAAUCAACUCUAAUGGGUUUAUCUUUUUAUAUAAGUACAUGUAGUAUAUGGGCGGAGGCUAGCGUGAGCGACCAAAACAGAUCUCUCACGGUGCAAAUUGAAUUUUCACCAUUGGAUAUAUUAAUUAUUUAUUAUGUGGUCAAGAUGAUUCUUUUGAAGAAUAAGUAUCCCAUUUUGGUGAAUGCUAUGGUGAGGUAGGGGUCAUGUAAUUCACAUGUGAGAACAAAAUAUAACCGCAAGAUAUGAUCAAUUGUUAGCUUCUGAUGAAAUUAAUAGUGAGAACACGUAUAUUUUCUUUUCAAACUCAAUUAAUCAAAAAUUGAUUUUCAAAUUAAAAUAAUUUAUUUUCUCUCUUUCUUUUUUCUUUUCACGGCGUGUAUUUAGUAGGUGUUGCCUAGGUUAGACAUACUCAAGAAGACCAAAAAAUUCAAUGUAUGGUAUCCACAAAUAAAAUUUAUCACGGAUUGGUAUGGGUUGAAUAUCUUAAUAUGUACACACAAAUAGAAUAAAAUAAAUCAUAUUAUAAGUACUCGUAAAUUUAUAGAUACACAGACAUAUGAAAUUAACUGAAUUUAGUAAAAAUAUUAACACAUAGGAUAAAAUUAAUUUUUUUUAAGUUUCUAGACUCGCAUAAAUCCGUACCCGUUGUUAAAUUAAUAAAAAUAUACAAUUGUUGUGGUACUUGAAAAAUAAUCUUCUCUUCAUGAAAUAAAAUAUAACUGAAUUUUCUAAUUAAUGAUUUUUGUUUGAUUAGUAAUUUAUGAAUACCUGGUUUGGAUUUGUUGAACUUCAGAAAAAACAUCGUUAAUUAUUAGUUUUGAAUUAUUAUAGGGUGCGUUUGAUAUUCCGAUUUUUCCUAAAAGUCCAAAAUAUAAAAAAAUAUAAAAUAAACAUUUUCAAACAAUUUUUAAUAUACACAAUAAACUUUAAUUUGAAACACGUAAGAAUUUCUUAAGAAAAAUACCUCUAUAUAAAUUAAACUUAGCCAGUUGCAAUAUCAAAAUAAUUGGUACAUUUGGAUUUUUAGACGUAAAGCCAAUAAGUUGAUUUGCAUAUUCUUCCUAUGGUGUGCACCUGAGUUUCUCCCCUCCUCUGCAAAUAGAUUAAAUUAUAAAUCACAUAAGUUUAUCAAUGUGGGACAAAAACAUUAAAUAAUAUUUUUUCAAGAUCAUCAAACUUCAUAAGUAUAUAAUUGGUUGAUUGAACAUCACUUUUGUAUUUUUUUUUUUUUUUGAGAAGAUCACUUUUGUAUUUUGUGAGUUCACCCUUUGCGGCUAAUACUCCAGUAAUAUCCUAAGAAAAUAUGAAAGGAGAACUUAAUAUCCAAUGCAAUAAAAAAAACUAUAGCAAAUAAAUAGGCAAUAGAUAUAAAAAUUAACUCCUUAAAAAAUACCAAUUAGGCGUGAAUCUUAAUUCUUAGCUUUAAAAAUUUCAUCAUAAGAUGUGAAUUUGAUUGCAUCAAAAAUAACAAUUAAAUAAUCAACCGGCUCCAUGGUGGUCAUAUCCUUAAAAAAAAUAGUCUAUAGUCAUGACAAGUUGGUUUAAAUUUAAAGUUGUUCUUAGAAACUGAGAUAUUUGUUAUCUCGUAACACAUUCCCUCAAUCAACAUAAAUUGAUAUUUUAAAUAAUGUAAAGUCAUAUUAGCUUGUAAAAGUUAACAAAAAUUGUGAAUAACUAUACAAUCAAAUGUUCUAAAAACAAUAAUAAAACAUAACAAAUAAAAAUUGUAAAGAAUAAUUAUCAUAAAAUAAUUUUAAAUAGUAUAAAGUCAUAUUAGCUUGUAAAAGUUAACAAAUAAAAAGAACUGAUGUAUAUUUUUGAUAGAAUGUUAACUAGAUUUCGAUCAUGUUAAUUGGAUUUCUAAAAGGAUAGUGUGUCGAAUUGACUUAUAUCGAAAAUUUCAAUCGUCGAAAUUUUCGUUACUACUUUGUUCUUAGUUUAGUUAGAUCAUAUCCAACAGUCGAAAUUAUUUUAUUUGAUACCAUUUGUCAGUUAGGUCUGUUUUGGUCGUCAAACGAAUAUCCUUUCAUAUUGACUAGGUUUUUCGAUGGAUAGUUUGACGGAUUGACUUAUACUGAAGAUUCCGAUCGUCAAAAUUUCAGUUCCUACUUCGUUCUUAGUUCAAUUAGGUCACAUCUAACGGUCAUAAUAGUUUUAUUUGAUACUAUUAGUCGGUUAGGUCUGUUUUGAUUGUCAGAGGAAUGUCCUUCUAUGGCCCAACCUAUUAACGGUGUCAAAAUGAACAUGACCUAAUUGAACUAAGAACUAAGUAGGAACUGAAAUUUCGGCAAUCGAAAUCUUUCAUAUAAAUUAUUCUGACAACUUUUGUGACAAUUUUCUCUCUAACACUCACAUAAUAUUUUUACUUUCUCUCUAUUACUUUCUUAACUCCCACAUUCAUCAUCAUCGCCAUCCAAUCACCAACAACAACAACUAGCACCAUCUUCAUCAUCAAUAAUUAAUUGAAAUUAUAAGUUGGAAUUUAAGAUAUAUUUUUUUACAAAAAUGAAAUUGAGGAAAUUAGAAACGCAUAAGUGUCCCUUCUUCAUAUACGUUUAUUUAAAAACAAUAAGAAAAGUUUGAACCCAGAUUCACACCCGUUUGCCCAUCAUUGUUCAGAACAAUUCACAUUUUCAGAUUCGUAAACUCAGAUUCCAAAUCAAUUCCAAAAGUUUGAUUCCCAAUUCAUUGAAUCCAACGAAAAAAAUCAAAGAUAGAGUUUUGAAUCUGCAAUCGAUUGCGACCGUGUUAGAUCCUUCACGAUUUACGAGAUCCUUCAAAAUAGUGAAUUUUAAGUUUGUCUUGUUGAUGGUGUUGAAUGACUACAAAUCAACCUCUCAAAAAUCUGGAAAUUAUCGGUUUCUAACAACACCAUCCUUUUAUUGUUCUUUUCCUUCAUCUUUAUUAUUUUUUCAUCCUGAUCUAAACUUGCUUUCUUACUCACACACCCAAAACUCAUUUCAAAACUCUCCAGACACAAUAGAAUAAUAAUCAAUAUUAUCCGUCAUCAUGAAUACCAUCAAAUACAAAACUUUAUUCAUUGUAGCUAGAGCUGUCAAAACGGGCGGCCCGGCCCGGCCGGGCCAAGGGCUUUCAAGGGCCGGGCUAAAAAGCCCGGUUUGAAUAUGGGCUGCAAAAAAUGAGCCCGAGCCCGAGCCCGGCCCUAUACGGGCUAACGGGCCGGCCCUGGCCCGUAUUUUUUUCUUCCCUUUUCCAUUCUUUUAAGUACGGAACAUACAUAAAUAUGUCGGGCUAACGGGCCAGCCCGGGCCCGUAUCAGUCUCUCACACACACAGACCACAAAAAAAAAAAAAAAACAGUUGUAUUUUUUGCGGGCUUCCGGGCAGCCCGGACGGGCUAGCCCUAACGGGCCAAGGGCUUUUACGGGCCGGGCUAAAAAGCCCUCUUCAAUUUUGGGCUCCAAUUAUUCGGCCCAAGCCCUACAUUUUAUUCGGGCUUUCGGGCCGACCCUUACGGCCCGGCCCAUUUUGACAGCUCUAAUUGUAGCUCAAUUUUAAGGUUGGAUGUGAAAUAGGUUUCACUUCAAAUAUCGAGAUGUUGCUUCACGUGUCUUUGAUCUACAUCUCCAUUCAUAAAAGUAUGUUGUGUUGUUAAGUCAAAAUCAAUUGAACGCUAGUUUCCUAAUAUAAAAAGCUUAUUUAGAACCAUUAACAUAUUGAAAAUCACAUGAUGCAGUAACUCUUAAUUUUUCUUUAUAGAAUAAAUAAAAUAGUUUGUGAUGAACGUUAAUAUUUUUUUGUUAGGAAAUCUUCUGGGUAGUUUUGAGGUACGAGGAAGAAAGGAAUCAAUUCUCAUCACUCAUCAGAUGUUGAUAGUGGAUUAAUGUUCCUUAUGUUUAAGUUGAACUCAUCUAGACCAUAGAUCUAAUCCAAGAGUAAUAUUUAUUGCCUUAAAGGUGAAGUACCUUAUGUUAGCAGCCACCAUAAAUGCAGAUAACUUAUUGCAAACAAAAAAAAUUCAACUUUAACUUGCAAAUGCAGGUAAAAAACCCCAAACCACCGUGAGAGAUAUAUAAUGGCCUCUCACGAUAGCACCCGCCGUAGUAUAUGAUAUCACUCAACUUAUACAUUGAUUUUAGUAUUAUGCCAAAUAACAUUAUUAUGAUUUCAAUGACGAAAAUUGUGUAUAGUGAAAGUGGUUAAACUUACGCAAUAAAAUGAACUGAUUUUUAAAUCUAAGUGGGAGAGAUAAACCCUAUUAAUCAUACUUAACACAUCUCAAAUAUGAUUAACUCAAAUGAAGGGAACUAAUGAAAGAAAAAGACAAUUGUGAAUUCACCCUUAAAUACAUGACAUUUAAAAGGAUUCGUAACUUUUUUUAUAGAACAUAGUUUAACGAGUUAGGUUUUAAAGACUUACUAAGUCAUAUCAUCAAGCCUCAAGAUUCUAAAAAUUGCAAACCGUUAAAAGUAGUAACAUAUCAAUAUCUAUAAAUGAAGUCCUCACACCACACAAGUGAAGUUGAAUCAAUGGCCUUGCAAGGUACCACAUGAGGCAAACUCUUUGAUUUUGUUUGGGAGUUUGAAGAGGAAAGGAAGGAAGCGCUUUGGGGACGGUAAAUAUAUAGGGGAAUGGAGAAAUCUUACACAUUUUGUUGAAAAAAUAUUUUUUAAAGAAUGAUAAAUUAAUGUUUAUAAUUCAUAUAUUUUUAAUAUUAAUAUUAUAACUAACGUAAAAUAAAUUUAAAGAAUUCAUAUAAAUAAUCCAAAAUCCUCGUCCAAUACAACUUUUUAGCCCCUUGACGGAAAGUUUUUAUAUUAUUAUGAAGAAAAAUUAACCUCCAAAAUCCUCCCCAAUAUACUUUAUUUCUUCGCUCGUGCUCCUUCUUUUUUUUUCUUUUCCAAAACCCUCCACUAUUUAAAAAUCUUCCUCUCCUUUUUCCUCCAAACUUGCAAACAACGCCAAAUUUUUGUACGAGGCAUAUUUUAUACGAGUCAUUUCCAAAAGGCUAAAUUGCAUUUUUGGUCCCUUAACUAUUUAGGUAGUAUCGCUUUGGUCCCUUAAUUAAAAUUCGAUUUAUUUUGAUCCUUUAAUUUCUCUCUGUUACACAUUUUGGUCAUUUCCGUUAGUUUUAAUUCAAAAAUGUUAGGUUUUCUUCACCUUCUUCUCCUCUUUUUCAUCUUCAUAUCAUCUCCAUCAACCUUCAACAACAAGAAUCCCAGAAAAAUUUCAGAAGAAAAUGAAAAAACCCUAAUGUUUUUGAAUUAAAACUAACGGAAAUGACCAAAAUAUGCAACAGAAGUUAAGGAACCAAAAUAAAUCAAAUUUUAAUUAAAGGAUCAAAACAAUUCUACCUAAAUAGUUAAAGGACAAAAAUUGCAAUUUAGCCUUUCCAAAACUAACCUGUUGCAAAAUUCUCACCAUAUUUUAGACUAGUCAUUUCAAAUUUUUUGAAUCCUUUCUUUCAACUUCAGAAAAUUGCUUUCUCGUUCCCUUCUUCAUCUCAAUUACUCCAUGCAAGUAGGAUAAACUUAUCUCUCUUUUUCCAUUGCCCAAUACUUUACUCAUUCUUCUAUAGCAGAACAAGUUUCUUUCAUCUUGUGUUCUUCAACAAGGUAUUUAAUUUUUCUUUCUAUUCGUCAAUUUUUUAUUAAUUAAUUUUUUCCUCUUGCUUUUGCUAUUCAAUUUUCAAUAGUUAUAAAAGAUCAUAGUGCAUUGUACCUGUUUGUUUAUUUUCUUUGGAAAAAAAACAAAAAUGUGUUUGUCCAUUGCACGGUAAAUCACUGAACUGUGUAAUGUCUGAUUUUAGGGUUUUCUGGAAGCUAAAGAAGCUAUGGCAGGUUUGAAUCUUCUCAACAGUGUCUCUUGGAGGGUGAAGAGAUACCAAGGCUUCGUCGCCAAUUCGAAGCUGAAUCCUAAAGGUUCUUCUUUCCUUCGGUGUUUUAUGUGAAUAAGAACUUGAGAUUAGAUAGAUUGCAAGUCUAUGCUUUCAAUUACGAUUGUUAAAUGAGGUUGAAUCUCAUAUCAAAAGCUAUCUCAAAGGGUGAGGGUGCCCAAACAGAUUUAUACACUCAACAACCUAGAAACCUGAGCAAUUUAGGAGUCCAAACAAACUACAAACAACUUUCAAUACCACCACCCUCACGCCUAGAGUGGGCCUGGGUCUAAUUCUCACAUUGCAAUCCUUAACCCGACUCUGAUACCAUGUUAAUUGAGCUUGAAUCUCAUCCCAAAAGCUAACUAAAAGGCUAAGGGUGCUCAGACACAUUUUCACGAUAUGAUACACAUCGUUUAUCGUUCAACCACUUUUUUGAAUCGUGUAUCGUAUCAUGUAUCGUAAGAUACAUGAACAAAAAAGAAUAUGAGUUAAAGUAUCAUAUAUAAACUUCAAGAUACUUGAAAAAAUGUGUGGGAAGUUGUAAAGUACAAGAACGUGUGUGGCUUUUGGGAAUAGUUCCAAUUUAAUUGGACGGCUACAAAACAAAACCUUAGAAUACAAAGUGGUUCACCCUGUAAUAUCUGACGUGUCACACAAACCGAUCCAGUUCUAGUAUCGACCCAUGUAAAAAACGAAAAAAAAUCCGACGUGCCAUGCAACACGACUUGGUUUCUGCAAGUGAGACACGAAUGUCACAAUUAUUGUAAGAUACCAGAUUGAAUCGGAAUACGUAGGAUAUGCCGGUGAUAGAUAGGAUACGCUCGCGAUACAUGGUCAUUUGCGAUACAUACCCUGAUAUGUAUUGCCCAUGGCUGUUUUCGUAUCGUAUCGUAUCAGGAUUCGUGGGAUACUCACUACACUGACUCAACAGCUCAGGAACCUGAGCAAUGUGGGAUUCCCAACAAACGACAAACAAUUUUCAAGGCCUGAGUCCAAUUUUGUUAACAAUAUAGGGUUUCAGAGAGAAUAACAAAAGAGACUGUUAGGGUUUCAUAAGAUUACAAUGACAUGAUAUGAAUUGCAUGACUUGUCAAAAGGAUACAAUAGAAUAUAUAAUAAAUCCACUAUAAUACCAAACAUGCAUUAAAUUGUAAAUUUCUUUCGAUCAACAUGAUUGAUGAAAAGUGAAUUUUUUCUUAUAACAGGAUUUAGAGCGAGUAUUUAGAAAAAGAAUAAUAAAUAUAUAUGUAAAAAUUUGUAAAAAAUUAGUAUAUUUUGGGAAACGUAAAUAUUCCAAAUGAGUCUUGUAAGUUGGAGUAUAUUUUCUUUCAACUGCCCAGUGUGACAUUCACAUCCAUUUCUCCUUACACACACACACACCGACUUUCACCAGGAACCAACACAUGGCCGCUGCACCUUCAUCAUCAUCAUCAUCACCGUCAUCGGCUGUCAGCGCCAGCACCAAUACCACUCCUCCGCCAUCAUCUUUGGUGGUUCCCGACGCUUCCCCUUCUCCUUUCUCCGCCAUCGAGUUCCUCUCUAUCUGUCACCUUCUCAAGGUACGUCUCCAUAAAUCACCAUAAUUUACUCCUUAGUUUCUCAUAAGCGUUGGAUCAUUAAUUCAAGAAACGAAGCACAGCAGUUUUAUGUGCAAAAUUGAAUGUUACGAUGAUGUUCAUUUAAUGUAGCUUAUUAAAAUCUAAAAUGGUUUAGGUAUGUAAUUUAGUUUUAUUAGGUUAGAGAUACACGAUCCUAAUGAAGAUUGAUCGCGAUUGUGCUACUUUGAUUUUCAAUUUUCGAUUUCUUUUUGGUCUUUUAAUUCGUUGCUCUUUAACUUGUUUGAAUGCUGUGUGAUUUUGGAAUGAAAUAGACAACAAAGAGAGCUGGAUGGGUGAGAAGAGAUGUUAAGAAUCCAGAAUCUAUAGCCGAUCAUAUGUAUCAGAUGAGUUUGAUGGCCCUGAUUGCACCAGAUGUUCCCGGUCUAGAUCGAAACAAGUUAGUCCACUUUAUUUACUAUUAUUUUUUCCGAUAACAGCCAAAUGAGAAUUUAGGUUAUCAGAAAUUGGUUUGUUUGUUGAUUUUCAGGUGCAUAAAAAUGGCUAUUGUGCACGACAUUGCAGAAGGUAUGCUGAGUUGCUCUGUUUAAUCUGUCUAUGUCUAGUAAAAAUAGCUAUGUAUUCUUUAAGUAUUGUUCGCAAAUAAUAUUCGAGAGAAGUUUUGUUGAAGUCGGUCAGGGGAGUAGUAAUUUGGUGAAGUGUAAAUCAAUGGAAUCUGGAAGAGACCGAGUGGAUACAAGGGUGAGUUUAGAUGUGGUACUGGUAAUUUCUUGUUGUAAAUGGUAACCUUGACAGCGAAAAUUUGCAUAGAAAGUUGUAAACCAGCACACACUAGCCACUUUGCUGUUUCUGUGUUACUUUUCAUGAGAAGUUGACAAAUUCCUAACAUUAUAGAAAUCUACAUGAAAGAAUUUGUAUAACAUAUUAUGAAGUUUCAAGAAUUGGGAGAAUUUAAGUGAAACUGCAUUCAUUAGUAUUUGUUUGAGCUUCACAAUGCAUAAUCAACUAUACACACACACACACACACGCACGCAUGCGCGCGCACACACACGAACGCGCGCGCGCACACACACACAUAUAAUACAGAAUCUUCUAGACGCUAACAGAAAUUAAGUGAAACUUAACUAAUAGCUGUCAGUUAUGCCUAGCUGGCGUGUCCAACGUUAAGCGGCAGAGUCUAGGGAAGGUGAAAUUAUAUACUCCUAUCAUCAUAAUGCUGUUUUUGUUAUCCCUAUUCUGUUUUUGUUAAAAAAGCAGUUUUCAGGCUUUCGAAUUGGCAGAUGCUUUAACACGGGAGCAUCAUGUUAUCAUCAAAUUUGUCAUCCAUGCUUCUUCGUUGGAACUAUAAAUUGAUUUUGCUUACUUUGGUGCUUUGUUUAAUAGCAUUGAUCGGUGGCAUUACCCCCCCGGAUGGAAUUUCAAAAGCAUAUGCGAGUCGACUAGAAGCAGAAGCACUCGAGUAUAUGUGCGAAAUACUUGGAGUAGGAGAAGGAUCGAGAGGUGCUUCCUUGUCACUCUGUUGAUGAGUUUAUUAUUUAGAGAAUUGAUAAAACUGACAUCUCUUUGUUUUGACUGAAUUUUCAAACUGAAGGAAAGGAAAUAACUGAAUUGUGGAUGGACUAUGAAGCAAAUUCUUCUCCAGAAGCAAAAUUUGUCAAGGACCUUGACAAGGUUUGUGGUCUUUUGCCUAAUCAGUCUUUCAGUUGUUCACUUCUGCACUUUACCUGUUGGCUGGUGGUUUGGAUGGUAGGUUUUGGAGGAAAAUGAAUGGAAGGUGAAAUUUUUCAUUGUUGAAGAGAGUUACACUGUUUAUAAAAAAGAUCAAUGGAUUUGACAAUAAUAAGCUUUUGAGUAUAAAGUUAUUAUGUCAUGUUUUUCCCUUCCUCCUAAACUUAUUAAAUUAGAGAAAUUUUAUCCUCCAUUCAAACAUGUUCUAAGGGAUUUAUUUCAACUGGAGGGCCUAGGGAGAUGGGAUGAGGGGUGGACAGGAUGUCCUAUCAAGGGCCGUUGUAUUGGUACAUGCAGGCAAAUAAUGAUAAUGCCACAUUUUGGUCUGGGGCUAAAGUACUUUGAAUAUUUUCCAUGUAAACUGCUGUUACUUUGGUUCUAUUAUAAUUUUUUAUCCAUGCAGGUAGAAAUGAUACUUCAAGCCCUGGAUUAUGAAGACGGUGAGUGGAUUCUUGAAAUUUAUCUUUUCACUUUAUUACAAUAGUAUACAGGCCUUAUCAAACCAUUUGAAUUGUUUGUCAAUCUUUGAACAUUAAUGAUCUUCAAGAUUAAUGUAUAUUUUAGUAAGAAAUUUAUGCAAAUAACAUUGAACUUAGUACAUUUUACACUUCUGGCAGUUAUAACUAAGAUUUACAUCUUCAAGUUUCCUUGUUUGUUAUCUAUAGGCUACGGUCAUUCAUGGAUCAUAUGACAGUAGUGAUGAUGAUGAUUAACAGCUCUGAAUUUAGUUGUGCAUUCAUGUAUUUCACUCAUGUUUUCGAACUGUUUUUUAGGUAGUUUGGUGUCAUGUUAUGCCAUUUAAUAGAAUUGCUUUGCCUUCCAUUAGCUUCCAUCCAACCAUUGAUAAAGCCUAAGUAGAAUACAUUUAUCAAUGUUUUGAAUUCUGGUGCAUGAUGUAUGCAUAGUUUAACGAUUUAUAUUUGUAUGAUACUCCCCCUGGUCUGGUUAUACGCAAAAAUACCUAAUUUCAUAUUAGUUAAGAAUUUUAUUUAAUUAUAAUACAUUUUUAAUUUUUAAUGUAAUAAAUGAACAAACGAAGUAAUAUUAUUCUUCAAGCAGCCCUUCUUGGGAACUUGUUCCAUAGUAAUAAAAGGGAUACCAGGAAAUAAAAUCUAUAUUACUUGAAUUGUUGUAGAAAUAACAUGAUUAGAUAAUGUGAAAUUACUUGAGAUUUGUUUGUUUUUAAUUUACCAAACAAGUUCUUUUUUGUUUAUAACUGAGAUUGAAAAGAGUACAAAGAAUGGAACGGAGGGGUAUGUUGGUGAUUUCCAUCUUCGUUCAUAAAUUUAUUUCUACGCGAUAUCUAUUUUGUAUAGAUCUUUAUGUUCUGAAAUUUGUUCUCUUAUGGCUUUGUGCAGGGCAGGGGAAGGAUUUGGAUGAUAUUUUCCGUUCAACUGCUGGUAUGAUUUUCCGCACCGUCUUUUAUUCU
This 13927-nucleotide long non-coding RNA is filed under the name Medicago truncatula (barrel medic). RNAcentral's name for it is "long non-coding RNA (MTRU_LNC002626)". Lineage: Eukaryota; Viridiplantae; Streptophyta; Magnoliopsida; Fabales; Fabaceae. The record is from RNAcentral.